GUGAGGGAUAUUGGUCAAUGGGGGAAACCCUGAACCAGCAACGCCGCGUGGGGGAAUGAAGGUCUUCGGAUUGUAAACCCCUGUCAUGUGGGAGCAAAUUAAAAAGAUAGUACCACAAGAGGAAGAGACGGCUAACUCUGUGCCAGCAGCCGCGGUAAUACAGAGGUCUCAAGCGUUGUUCGGAAUCACUGGGCGUAAAGCGUGCGUAGGCUGUUUCGUAAGUCGUGUGUGAAAGGCGCGGGCUCAACCCGCGGACGGCACAUGAUACUGCGAGACUAGAGUAAUGGAGGGGGAACCGGAAUUCUCGGUGUAGCAGUGAAAUGCGUAGAUAUCGAGAGGAACACUCGUGGCGAAGGCGGGUUCCUGGACAUUAACUGACGCUGAGGCACGAAGGCCAGGGGAGCGAAAGGGA
Molecule: ribosomal RNA, 412 nt
Filed under: uncultured bacterium
Lineage: Bacteria
Description: bacterial SSU rRNA
Rfam family: Bacterial small subunit ribosomal RNA
Source: RNAcentral